This 497-nucleotide ribosomal RNA is filed under the name uncultured bacterium. RNAcentral's name for it is "partial 16S ribosomal RNA". It matches the Rfam family "Bacterial small subunit ribosomal RNA", at positions 28 to 507 of the family's 1533-position model. The record is from RNAcentral.
GAUGAACGCUGGCGGCGUGCCUAAUACAUGCAAGUCGAGCGAACAGACGAGGAGCUUGCUCCUCUGACGUUAGCGGCGGACGGGUGAGUAACACGUGGAUAACCUACCUAUAAGACUGGGAUAACUUCGGGAAACCGGAGCUAAUACCGGAUAAUAUAUUGAACCGCAUGGUUCAAUAGUGAAAGACGGUUUUGCUGUCACUUAUAGAUGUAUCCGCGCCGCAUUAGCUAGUUGGUAAGGUAACGGCUUACCAAGGCGACGAUGCGUAGCCGACCUGAGAGGGUGAUCGGCCACACUGGAACGGAGACACGGUCCAGACUCCUACGGGAGGCAGCAGUAGGGAAUCUUCCGCAAUGGGCGAAAGCCUGACGGAGCAACGCCGCGUGAGUGAUGAAGGUCUUCGGAUCGUAAAACUCUGUUAUUAGGGAAGAACAAAUGUGUAAGUAACUAUGCACGUCUUGACGGUACCUAAUCAGAAAGCCACGGCUAACUACGUG